This 439-nucleotide ribosomal RNA is filed under the name uncultured bacterium. RNAcentral's name for it is "partial 16S ribosomal RNA". It matches the Rfam family "Bacterial small subunit ribosomal RNA", at positions 339 to 795 of the family's 1533-position model. The record is from RNAcentral.
CUACGGGUCGCACCAGUGAGGAAUAUUGCACAAUGGAGGAAACUCUGAUGCAGCAACGCCGCGUGGAGGAUGACGCAUUUCGGUGUGUAAACUCCUUUUAUAUGUCAAGAAAAUGACGGUAGCAUAUGAAUAAGCACCGGCUAACUCCGUGCCAGCAGCCGCGGUAAUACGGAGGGUGCAAGCGUUACUCGGAAUCACUGGGCGUAAAGGACGCGUAGGCGGGAUAUCAAGUCAGGUGUGAAAUCCUACAGCUUAACUGUAGAACUGCACUUGAAACUGGUAACCUAGAGUAUGGGAGGGGGAGAUGGAAUUAGUGGUGUAGGGGUAAAGUCCGUAGAUAUCACUAGGAAUACCUAAAGCGAAGGCGAUCUCCUGGAACAUAACUGACGCUAAGGCGUGAAAGCGUGGGGAGCAAACAGGAUUAGAUACCCGUGUAGUC